GGGCCAUUAGCUCAGCGGUUAGAGCAGAGGACUCAUAAUCCUUUGGUCCAAAGUUCAAAUCUUUGAUGGCCCA
Molecule: transfer RNA, 73 nt
Filed under: Treponema sp.
Lineage: Bacteria; Pseudomonadati; Spirochaetota; Spirochaetia; Treponematales; Treponemataceae
Description: tRNA-Ile
Rfam family: tRNA
About the family: Transfer RNA (tRNA) molecules are approximately 80 nucleotides in length. Their secondary structure includes four short double-helical elements and three loops (D, anti-codon, and T loops).
Source: RNAcentral